GUUAAUUUAGUUUAAAGAAAACAUCAAAUUGUGAUUUUGAAAAUAAAGAAUUUUUAAUUAACA
Molecule: transfer RNA, 63 nt
Filed under: Chiton albolineatus
Lineage: Eukaryota; Metazoa; Mollusca; Polyplacophora; Chitonida; Chitonidae
Description: tRNA-His
Rfam family: tRNA
About the family: Transfer RNA (tRNA) molecules are approximately 80 nucleotides in length.
Source: RNAcentral